Molecule: unclassified non-coding RNA, 411 nt
Filed under: Hevea brasiliensis (rubber tree)
Lineage: Eukaryota; Viridiplantae; Streptophyta; Magnoliopsida; Malpighiales; Euphorbiaceae
Source: RNAcentral
UCCUUUCUCUCUCCUCUUUCACCAAUGAGUGGUGAGUUUCCUUUCUCUCCUCUGGGUAGGUACCUCUUGGAUGUAGGACUUUGUUCCAACAGCUGCCACACGUGAGAUCCUGAUCGUCUUCUUCCCAGUGUUGUUGCCUGCUGCUGGGGGAAGGAAGGAAAGAUUCAAACCAGGACCGGAUAAGGUCAAACUCUGGGCGGGCUGCCAGGUUUCGCCUACGCUACGGUUUCACAAGAUUGAACCUUUUUUGUGAAACCGAGUUCCAGAGCACGAGGGAAUGGGCUUUCAUUCCCGGGACCGCCUCGUCUAUGUACUCGGCGCCUCCCCCGAUUGCUUGAAGAUGCACGCACGAUAUGAUAAAGGGCCCUGGGGAGGAACCAAUGAAAAGCCAGGGUAGAGCCUCGGAGCCGG